Molecule: ribosomal RNA, 508 nt
Filed under: Bothriogaster signata graeca
Lineage: Eukaryota; Metazoa; Arthropoda; Chilopoda; Geophilomorpha; Himantariidae
Description: partial 16S ribosomal RNA
Rfam family: Bacterial large subunit ribosomal RNA
Source: RNAcentral
GGCUUCUUGUAAUUUUGUAAGAGGUCUUGCCUGCCCGGUGAUGCAGAGUAAUUUAACGGCCGCGGUAUUUUGACCGUGCGAAGGUAGCAUAAUCAUUAGUCUUUUAAUUGGGGGCUGGUAUGAAGGGUAUGACGGAGACUGACUUUAUUUAUUUAUUUAUUGAAUUUUAUUUAACUGUGAAGAGGCAGUAGUGAUUCUAUUAGACGAGAAGACCCUAUUGAGCUUUACAUUUUUAUUUAAAAUAUGGGUAGAAAUUUAAAAUUAGGUGUUUUGUUGGGGCGACAGGUAGUUGUAUUAUAACUUAUUAUUAAAGUAGAUAUUUAUAAAUAGGAUUUAGGAUCCAUUGGUUAGUAUGAUAAAUAGAUUAAGUUACCAUAGGGAUAACAGCGUUAUUAUAAUGGAGAGUUCAUAUUGAUGUUAUAGUUUGCGACCUCGAUGUUGAAUUGGGAUUCUUAUAGGCUGUAGGAGGUUUAUAGUAAGUAGUCUGUUCGACUAUUAAAGUCCUACA